This 439-nucleotide ribosomal RNA is filed under the name uncultured bacterium. Its description in RNAcentral is "partial 16S ribosomal RNA". It matches the Rfam family "Bacterial small subunit ribosomal RNA", at positions 338 to 795 of the family's 1533-position model. The record is from RNAcentral.
CCUACGGGUGGCAGCAGUGGGGAAUAUUGCACAAUGGGGGAAACCCUGAUGCAGCGACGCCGCGUGAGUGAAGAAGUAUUUCGGUACGUAAAGCUCUAUCAGCAGGGAAGAAAAUGACGGUACCUGACUAAGAAGCCCCGGAUAACUACGUGCCAGCAACCGCGGUAAUACGUAGGGGGCAAGCGUUAUCCGGAUUUAUUGGGUUUAAAGGGGGGGCAGGCGGAAGUUAAAGUCAGCGGUAAAAUGGAGAGGCCAACACUCUUCGAGCCGUUGAAACUGGUUUUCUUGAGUGAACGAGAAGCAUGCGGAAUGCGUGGUGUAGCGGUGAAAUGCAUAGAUAUCACGCAGAACUCCGAUUGCGAAGGCAGCAUACCGGCGCUCAACUGACGCUCAUGCACGAAAGUGUGGGUAUCGAACAGGAUUAGAUACCCUAGUAGUC